AUUGAACGCUGGCGGCAGGCCUAACACAUGCAAGUCGAGCGAGCGGCGGACGGGUGAGUAAUGUCUGGGAAACUGCCUGAUGGAGGGGGAUAACUACUGGAAACGGUAGCUAAUACCGCAUACCAUCAGAUGUGCCCAGAUGGGAUUAGCUGGUAGGUGGGGUAAUGGCUCACCAAGGCGACGAUCCCUAGCUGGUCUGAGAGGAUGACCAGCCACACUGGAACUGAGACACGGUCCAGAGUCCUACGGGAGACAGCAGUGGGGAAGAGUGCACAAUGGGCGCAAGCCUGAUGCAGACAUGCCGCGGGUAUGAAGAAGGCCUUCGGGUUGUAAAGUACUUUCAGAGAGGAGGCGUUACUCGCAGAAGAAGCACCGGCUAACGACGUGCCAGCAGCGGCGGUAAUUC
Molecule: ribosomal RNA, 406 nt
Filed under: uncultured bacterium
Lineage: Bacteria
Description: partial 16S ribosomal RNA
Rfam family: Bacterial small subunit ribosomal RNA
Source: RNAcentral